UUCUUGUUUUGAGGUUAAGGCUAGUUUGCAAGAGCAGGAAUCAAUGCACUACCAGUGAUGGUACUGCUGACCCCAGACUGUAAUUAAUCCCAUGAAAAAAAACAAGAUGAUAUCUCAUAAAGGGUAAUUGAUGCUGUUGGAGAUGGAUGUCUUAGUUGGCAUGUGUUGACCUCUGAUUAACUCCUCAAGAUCUGUAUCAUGGAAUAUUCAGUCUGACUGAUGUAAUGCAAGUCUUGCAGUCUUUCAGAAACCCAACCAUUCUCUCUUCCUUUUCCAACUGCUGAUUUAAGAAGUUCAGGCAGACUCUUCAAUUCCAGCCAUGCUGCAGAUUUGUAGCUGUAAUCAGUCUAAUCCUGCCUUCACACUUGGCCAGCUAACUGGCUGUUGCGAGUAUUAAUUAGGGAAUUAAUUAAAGAAUUUACUCAAGGAACUAAACAGAACAAGAAGGUAGCCAGACUAACUGGUUGUGGGAACACAAGAACAAAGCCAGAAAGUACAUAUCAGAGAUACAGGAAACAUGAUAAAAGUUAAUUAGUCCUGAUCUUUAGAUAAUGAUUUUGCCACAGUGGGAGAGAUUAAACAGUAUAGCUGAUAUCCUCUGGAGUUUAAAAGAGGAUGAAGGGUAAAAAACAUUCAUAUAGGGAUGAGAGAGAAGAUGUGAACUUGAUAUUUUACCUGGCUGUGGUAUCUUGGAUCGGGGUCAAAAUUUCUAAAAUAAUUGCUGGGUUAUGUCUAACCAAAAAGAUAAAUGCUGCCAACCAGACACUUCUACCAUGUCAGCUGAAGUGGUGGAUGCAGGCUGGAUUUCAACACUUCAGAGAAGUUUGGAUAACUACAUGGAUGGGAAGGGUAUGGAAGACGAUGGUCCUAGUUUAAGUCAAUGGGACUGGGCAGAAUAAUAGUUCAACAUGGGCUGAAGGUCCUGUUUCUGGCCCUAAGAGGUCUGUGAAGGCUCAGAAACACAAUAUAUUCAUAAAAGAGAUAUUUAGCCAUUAGGGAAUCAUGGAAUAUAUAGAUAGUGAUGGAAUGUGAUGUGUUUAAAAUAUCUCCCAUGAGAGCUUGAAUGGCCUCUUGCUUUUAUUUCUUUGUCCUUCUGCUGGUCAGAAAGUCAAAAUAUUGAGGUGACCAGUUAACCUCAAACCCUUCCAGCCAGGGAAAUUGAAAACCAACUAAUAUAUUCCAUUUAAUGUAUAGCAAGUACAGGAACAUUUGCAAUGAAGCUCUUUUGGCAGAAUCCUUCAGGUAAGAUCUUGCUUUGUAGAUGCAGGGUAAGAUUGUUGCUAAGUAGACCAUGUACAGUAUAUGAGGCUAGAAAAUGUUACAGUAACUUGGACAGUCUGCUAAUCAGUGGAGGAAAAAUACUACAGAUGUGCUCCACUGUUCUGAAUGUGGUCUAUGUUGUUUGUGUUGUCACCCGAUGAUAGAGGCAAGUAAAAUUACAACCAUUAAAGUAAUUUGGCAGGUACAUGGACAGGAAAGGUUGAGUUUGGAUAUGGGUCGAAUGCAGGUAAAUGGAAUGAGUGUGGAUAGACAACUUGUUCAUCAUGGACAAGUUGAGGUGAAGGGUCUGUUUCCUUGCUCUAAAACCCUAAGAAUCUGUAAACUAGCAAAGAAGCAUCUUUAGUUAAAUGUCAAGAGUCUCUUAUUAUAGAGGUCUAGCCAUUUUUGAAAAAAAAGAGACACAUGCACUAUAGAUUUUCAGAAAUGUAUCAAAGGGGGUAGACAACUUCUUGAAAGGCCAAACGUUUGAUCCACUACCUUCAUGUGGAAGAUAGUGGACAACUCAGUGUAGUGUUGCCCUUUGGAGGUCAGAGAUGGAUAAUCCAAAGAACGCUUUCUCCUGUUUUUCUCUGUUCAACUAAGUUGCUGUGUGAUUGAAGAGCAAGGAGUGGGAUUUGCUGAGAUGAUGAGAAGAUUGCACAUGUGAUUUCCUAGCUUCUCCUUACUUGAUACUUUUAGUUGACUAUUUUGUGGUCAGAAAUUAAAGGCUAAUCUUUAUAGCAAUCCGUAAUGUGUUUUGCAAUGAGCAGAGAGGAAGCUGCAGUGAAAUGGUACAAAAAAAGUUAAGGUUUAUUGUGAUAUUAUUGUGAUGCUGACUAUCCAUUUCUUGAUAAAAAAGUACCCCUUCAUCUGAUAACUCUGUAAAUAAACAAAUCAAAAUCAUUGCUACCUACAAACCCCUAAGAGCCAAAGAAAUGUGAGCCAAUAGAAUUCAAAGGUCAACUGAAGGGGUAGCCAAUCUGGACUGAGACAACAAAAUGGUGGUGGUGGUGGUGGUCGUGGUGUAGGGGGGCUAUAUAAACAGUCCCAGAGGGAAACACCAACCAUUGCACACUGAGGAUCUCACCUCUACUGGUAAUGAAACGUCUGCAAGCUAAUUGCCAAACUUGGCAAACACGACUACAACAUCAAGAGAUAUAUCCAUCUACCUCUCAGGCAACUGGACUUCAACAGAGAGCUGCCAACAAUAAAGGUUUGCUCUGAAUAAUACUUUCCACAGGAGUGGGUCUCAAGGAAAAAAUUUUGGCAACAGUCAGCCCUUGGUGUAAUGGAAAAUCAAAUAAAUGAGAGACCACCUAAAUCUGUAUUCACUCUUGAAACUGAACUCGCACCAUACUGCAUGCUGUUAAUUCAAGAUGCAUUUGAUAAAUGAUGGAUCAUCUUGAGGCAUAGAAAGACCUAAUCCUUGUGGUACCUCAUGUCACACUUGUUUUUGAUUUCUUUCAAUUCCUUUUUGCAAGUAGUGACUCCAUUUGCUUUAAACAGAAUUAAACCUUGUCAUGGGACUCACUUUGCAUUAUUCAUUAGGAACAUCACUUUACACAAAAAAACAUUUGAAUGAAAAUCCUGUAGGCUUUUGUGUUCCAUUUUAUUGAACAAAGCCUUACUUCCAUCUCUGUAAGACUGCAUUCAUUCCUUUUUCUAUCCAUACAGAAGUAUGAUCGACGGAUUUAAAUUUUCAAAGUCACUUGGCAUCAGAAUCAGGUUUAACGCCGCUGGCAUAUGUCAUGAAAUUUGUUAACUUUCUGGAAGCAGAACAAUGCAAAACAUAAUAAUGAGAGGGAAAAAAACCUGAAUAAAACUAAAUAAGUCAUGCAAAAAUUGAUUUUAAAAAGUCAUGAGGUAGUGUUCAUGGGUGCAAUGUCCAUUCUGAACUUGGAUGGCAGAGGGGAAGAAACUAUUCCUGAAUUUCUGAGCGUGUGCCCUUAAGCUUCUAUACCUCCUUCCUGAGGGUAGCAAUGAGAAGCGGGUAUGUCCUAGGUCGAGGGUCGGCAACCCGCGGCUCCGGAGCCACAUGCGGCUCUUUUACCUCUGUGCUGCAGCUCCUUGUUGCUUUGGGAAAUAAUUGGUCUUUUGCAGCAUCCGCGCCCAUGGGGGCCAGGUUGAGGGAGGCUUAAAAGCAAGGCUAUUUAGUUCGAAUAAAGUUAUUCGACUGCAGUUUACUGACUGUGUGAGCACACCGCUACAACGUGUUUUUAUUGCUAUUAAUAUACGUCACCACUGCCAAUACCUGACACCCGUCAGUGCGCGAUUUCUUUAAUUUUUCGAUCCAAGGUAGGCCAACUAUGGAGAAUUCUAAAAAAAGAAAAGUGACUGAAGAAAACAGAACGUUUAAUGAUACGUGGACAGAUUCAUUUGCUUUCACUGUUGACGAGACUGGUUUACCGGUAUGCUUAAUAUGCAAUGAGAAACUAGCAAACAACAAAAAGUCAAAUGUUGCAAGGCAUUUCUAGAAUAAACACGCAGCCUUUGCUCAAAGAUAUCCGGAUGGAGAUGAGAGAAAAAAAGCCGUUUCGGAACUGAUGCGGAAGGUUGAUCUGAGCAAAAAUCAUUUCAAGCAAUGGAUGAAGUCCAGAAAACCAACGACAUACGCUAGUUAUAUUGCCGCUCAGGAAAUAGUCAGGCACGGGAAGCAGUUUACAGAUGGUGAAUAUAUAAAAGAAUCUUUCAUUAAGAUUUCAGAACAUCUAUUCACGGACUUUAAAAACAAGAGUGAAAUUGUGCAGAAAAUCAGGGAUAUGCCCCUCUCUGCAAAGACUGUCAAAGACAUAACCAUAAAAAUGGCAGAAGACAUCACAAGACAGCAAAUUAAAGACAUCAAUUCAGCUGUGGCCUACUCGAUUGCCUGUGACGAGUCUAAAGACAAAGGUGAUAUUGAACAAAUAGCGUUGUUCUGCCGGUAUGUAAACUCUGCCGGGCCACAGGAAGAACUGAUUGAGUUGAUACCUCUAAAAGACCAAACACGGGGGGAGGACAUCUGUGAGGCUAUCUUGAAUUGUUUAAGUGCCAAAGGAAUAAAGACUACCCACCUGGUGUCAGUAGCUACUGAUGGGGCACCGAAUAUGAUGGGAACGCACAAGGGAAUUGUGGCUUAACUGCAGAAGUCGCUGGACAGAAAGCUGCUGAUGUUUCACUGCAUCUUGCACCAAGAGGCACUGUGCGCUCAAACAUUUCCUCCAGAAUGCACAGAAGUAAUGGAUGUUGUCAUUCAGAUUGUCAAUAAAAUAAUGGCAAAAAGUUUAAAUCACCGUCAAUUCCGUUUGUUACUGGACGAGCUGGAAAGCGCAUAUUCUGAUCUCCUGCUGCACAACAAAGUCCGGUGGCUGUCCAGAGGGGAGGUGCUGAAACGCUUUGUCGCGUGUCUGGAAGAAGUGAAAACUUUCCUGGGCAGCAAAGGGCUGGAAAAGCUACACUUCAUGGUAGACAUGACAGCGCACCUGAACACGCUGAACACAGCUCUUCAGGGGAAAGGACGUACAGCCCUACACAUGUUGGAGGAUGUUUUGGCAUUCGAGCGCAAGUUGACAGUGCUUGCCAGAGAUUGACAGAAAGGCACUUUGUCUCACUUCCCCAAUUUGAGAGAGUUCAAACAAGGUCACGACAUGAUAAGUUCGGAGUAUUUACAUUCUGCAAUCAUCGCAAUGCAAACUUCGUUUGGGAAACGCUUCUGUGAGUUCAGAGAGGAAAAAAACACAUUAUCCUUCCCGGUCACUCCCCUAAGCAUCGAUUCAUCUCUACUGAAUACGACUGCAUUGGCAGGUAUGAGUAAACCUGAUCUUGAGAUGGAACUGGCCGAAAUAGCCGACAAAGACAUAUGGGUGUCCAAGUUUAGACACUUGACAGCAGACCUUGAAGAUGUUGCCCGUCAGAAGGCUGUUCUUGCUCAGAAUCACAAAUGGAGUGAUAUUGAAAACCUCCUAAAAGCAGACAAACUUGUGUUCGAAACAUGGAAUGCUAUCCCCAACAUUUAUGUAAACAUUAAAAAGUAUGCGCUUGGAGUCCUGUCGAUCUUUGGAUCCACAUAUGUAUGUGAGCAGGUGUUCUCCAACAUGAACUUUAUUAAAAACAAACAUCGUGCACGCCUCACAGAUGACAGCUUGCGAUCCUGUGUAAAGAUGAAGGUGACGUCAUACAGCCCUGAUGUGCAGAUGCUGUGCGCUGAGGUCCAGGAGCAGAAAUCCCAUUAACCAAGUAUGAUACAUAUUUUAAUUGCCUAUUAUUUUAGGAAUAUUCAUAUUUUUUCAUUGUUCAGUGAAAUAGUCCUUUUAUUUUUCAGGUUGACACCUGGCUGACGUUAUUUUUGGUUUGCGGCUGGCGGAAAAUUUAAGUUCAGCGUUUUUCGUAAAUACAAGAAGAACUCAAAUAGACAUUGAGUAUUUUACUUAAAAGUAACCUUCAACCCAACGUCUUUUUUUCGGAGUUCAAAAUGUUUUUGUUGCAUGCAGAAAUGUAAUUUCGUUUUCUCUGCAGGAGUUCAUCAAUUUCAUAAAUGCAACACAUUAUAGUUUGUUUAUACAUAGCAUAAAGGCAAAAAAAACGUUGUAUGCAGUGUUAUUUCAUUUUAAAUGUCAAACGGGUUUUGUGGCUCCCAGUGUUUUCUUUUCUGUGGGAAACGGGUCCAAGUGGCUCUUUCAGUGGUAAAAGUUGCUGACCCCUGUCCUAGGUGAUAGGGGUCCUUAGUUAUAGAUACUGUCUUUUUUAGAUGCUCCUUGAAGAUGUCCUGGAUGCUGGGGAGACUGAUGUCCAUGACGGAAUUACUGAGUUUACAACUCUGUGCAGCUUACUUCAAUCUUGUGCAGGAGUCCUCACCCUCCAUAACCGAUGGCAACCGCAAAACAAAAAAACAUUGUGGAACAUCAAACACCCAUCAUGCAAAAAAAGAACGAAUUGUGCAAAUGCGAAAAGCAAGUGGACAACAUGCAGCGCAAAUGGAAUCGUAGACACUUCCUUGCAGUUUAUUAUAAGAAGUCAAAUGGGAGGUGUAAACUAUUCUAUUACUUGGAUGCCGCAGGUGUUGGAUUUCCUGCAUUGUAGUUUACAGACUGAUGAAAUUAGAGCUCACGAUGACCCUUGCCAGAUUUAGAAUUGAAUCAUGUUUCUCUAACCUAUUCAUGGGCAAAAAGUAAAACUGAGCUUCUAAUGCAUUUUGUUACUUAUCAAUGUGCCCCAAAGAUUUAUAAAAAAGCAAUGUAUUUGAAAUAAAAUUGUUUAGGUUACCACAACUAAUUUUUACUCAGCUAGAUCAUACAACUACAAAAUAAAUGAGAGAGAUAGGUGUAUCAAUUGUACAAUGUGUAAAUCAACUGCAACAAUUAAAAACAAAAUCUAGAGUUAUCUUUUAAAUGGACUGAUGAAUUGGCUUAAUUGUUACACAUGAGGAAUAAAUUCGACCUAAUUAUCAGUGGUUGAAAGUUUUUCAGUAAUUGGAUUAGUUGUGAAACAUAAUUCACAAAAUUCGAUACUAAAUACUAGAUAGACACAGAAUCAAAAUUAGAUUUAACAUCACUGGCAUAUGACAUGAAAUUUGUUGUUAUAAAGCUGCAGUACAUUGCAAUACAUAAUAAUAAAAACUGUAAAUUAUGGAGUUACAAUGGCACUAGACAGCAACAUCUUCGAGCUCAUCUGCGGAAUCAGCUUAACUUCUAAGAUUAAUGUCUCUCAUUUUCCUUUUCAAGAUGCAUAGGGUUCUGUUGAAGACACUGACCUAGACCUGCAAUCAAACUUUAGCUCUUUACAAUGUUGGCUCCCACUCUCAGGGCCCACCAACUGGACAUUUUUCAAUAUCCCAAGGAUGCAGCCUAGAAGACAAGCACGCCUUUGGGGUUCUGAGUUCUUGCAGCCCUGGGGAUGAGUGGAUCCUAUGCCAGUGCCACUGACUGAAGCGUUGUGGGGGAAAACGGAAUAUUGGGAACAAUGGAUCAGCUGUCGUGGGAUACAGCACUGCGGUUUGAGUCACGCCACCCAGCAACCUCCGACAGCUCCGAGUUAACCCUAACCCGAUCAUGGGGCAACUUGCAAUGACUCAUUCAGCUAACUGGUACGUCUUUUGAAUGUGGGCAGAAACCAGCACACUUGCAGCAAUGAAGGUCCUCCAUCUCUGUCAGUAUAGAAGGAUUCUUCAUUGCUAUUUCUGUAACAGUUGUUUUUUUUUGAUCAGUCAGUGAUAGCCCUGAGCUGAACCCCUGAACCUGGAGGACCAGUGGGCCACUGGCCUCUAACCUUUGACCUAUUAUCACGGGUAACCCUAUCAAGAGCCAAGGCACAAAGCCCUGACUCCAGCCAACAUAGCUCUCCAGAUCAUUGAGGCGUGCAAGCCUCCAAACCCAUGACAAGGUUGUGAUAGUCUUGGAGGAGAGGCAGUUAUAAUGGGGAGGACCUACAGAGACUCCUUACAGAGGACACCUGAAUUGAACUCCAAACUUCAAUUUCCUGAGCUCCAAUAGUAUCGUGCUAACCGUUAUGCUACUGUGGGGCCCAUCUGUAUCUUUGACUUACAUUUCUUUACUUCAUCUUCCAGGGCUGACACAGUAGUGUUGUGGUUAGCAUUAUACUAUUACCGCACCAGCAACCCAGGUUCAAUACCUGCCACUGCCUGUAGGGCAUCUGUAUGUUCUCCCUGUGGCAAUGCAGGUUUCCUCCUGGAGCUCUGGUUUCCUCCCACAUUACAAGGAUGUACAAAUUAGUAGUUUAAUUAGUCUGAACAGUGAAAUUGGGCAGCCCUCAUAUGAACUCUUCUCCCUACUGCCAUCUGGCAAAAGAUAUUGAAGCAUUUGGGCUCUCACGACCAGACUGUGUGCAACUGUUUCUUCCCACAAGCCAUCCGACUCCUCAAUACCCUACAUCAUGUUUUAUUAUAUUGAGAUUUGUUCUCUACAGUGCCUAUUGUCUUGCUUAUUAAUUAAUUACUGUACUGCCCUGCACUGUUUUGUGCACUUUAUUUAGUCCUGUGUAGGUCUGUAAUCUAGUGUAGCUUUUUUGUUGUUUUUUGUAGUCUAGUGUCUCACAUAGUCUAGUGUAGUUUUGUGAUGUUUGAUGUAGCACCAGGGUCCUGGAGGAACGUUGUUUCGUUUUUACUGUGUACUGUACCAGCAGUUUAUGGUCAAAAUGACAAUAAAAAGUGAGUUGACUUGACCUUGGGCUCAUUGGGCUAGAAGGGCCUGUUAUCAUGCUGUAUCUCUAAAUAAAACAAUUUCUAUUUAUUUAUUUAUUUAUGAAUGCACUCACUGACUUGCUUUGUUGUCUUCACAGAUAUCAACAGCCCACUGGUAUAUUGAUUAAAAACUAUUAUUCAUGUAGAAAAGCAGAUAAUUAGUGUCAGGAGGCUGCUAAAGUGCAUCUGUAUUAUAGCCACGUUUUUAAUCUCAUCUUUAGUGAAUGCCUGAGCCUGCUUUCCACAGGCGCCCUCCUCAGCAGCCUAGGAUGGGUAUUGUUGUUGACUUUUAAAGUCCUCUGGCUUUGCAGAUCUGAGGCCAGUUUUAUUUCCAUGUUUGUGACCCAGAAACAGAUAGGAAGCAGAUAACAUGUUUUUCAAAGGGAAGUGAAAGUAGGGCCAUUUCUUGCUGUUGUUGUUGCUUAUUUUGUCAUAACUUGCUACUAUAUAACUGUAGUAUAAGUAUAUAAGAUAGUGAGGUCAGCUGAGAAAAUCAUCGGGGUCUCUCUUCCCGCUAUCACGGACGAGAGAUGCAGCACUACAUGCUGCAUCCACAAAGAAAACAGCAUUAUGAAGGACCCCAUGCACCCAUCAUACAAUCUCUUCUCCUUCCUGCCAUCUGGGAAAAGGCUCUAAAGCAUUCGGGCUCUUACGACCAGACUAUAUAACAGUUUCUUCCCCCGAGCUAUCAGACUCCUCAAUACCCGAAACCUGGACUGACACCUUGCCCUACUGUCCUGUUUAUUAUUUAUUGUAAUGCCGGUACUGUUUUUGUGCACUUUAUACAAUCCAGUGUAAGUCUGUAAUCUAGUAUAGCUUUCUCUGUGUUUUUUUUUCUAUUACAUAGUUCAGUCUAGUUUUUGUACUGUGUCAUGUAAACCAUGGUCCUGAAAAACAUUGUCUCAUUUUUACUAUGCACCGUACCAACAGUUAUGGUCAAAAUGACAGUAAAAGUUGACUUGACUUGACUUGAUAAUGCUUUCAAGAUUCAUGAUUUUUUAUUUUGAUUCCUCGGUACAUGAGCGUAAAGAGUAAAAUGAGUGCUACUCCCAAUCCAACGCAGU
RNA transcript from Hypanus sabinus (Atlantic stingray), 9495 nucleotides. It is a transcript of the gene named ras association domain-containing protein 9-like, with no coding region annotated. The record is from RefSeq and is a predicted model, not a curated record. The transcript has 3 exons. Lineage: Eukaryota; Metazoa; Chordata; Chondrichthyes; Myliobatiformes; Dasyatidae.